This 253-nucleotide ribosomal RNA is filed under the name uncultured bacterium. Its description in RNAcentral is "partial 16S ribosomal RNA". It matches the Rfam family "Bacterial small subunit ribosomal RNA", at positions 524 to 776 of the family's 1533-position model. The record is from RNAcentral.
UACGAAGGGUGCAAACGUUGCUCGGAAUCAUUGGGCGUAAAGCGCACGUAGGCGGCUCCGCAAGUCGGAUGUGAAAUCCCUCGGCUCAACCGAGGACGUGCAUCCGAAACUGCAGAGCUUGAGUAUGGAAGAGGGUCGCGGAAUCCCCGGUGUAGAGGUGAAAUUCAUAGAUAUCGGGGGGAACACCAGUGGCGAAGGCGGCGACCUGGGCCAAUACUGACGCUGAGGUGCGAAAGCGUGGGGAGCGAACAGG